UCGAAAUCGGAAGAGGCUCGCUCGGCCCCCUCCCUCCCAGUUGCUUUUGAGGAGUUAAAGCAUGAAACGUUUAGUAACCAGUGAGAUUCUUUCUCUUCUACGACGGCUCUCGAUUUGUAGAGUAGAGCCAUGGGUUGUUUCUUCCGUUGCUUCCGUGCUAGAGAAGACCAAUCUACGAGUGAUUCAGUCUCUCAAGCCAAUUCCAACGAACAUUUUUCGAACAAGGCUUUGAAAUUGAAGUUAGCACCAACACAGCAUGUUUUCUCGAGCAAUGUUUUACCUCUGCAACAAAGUGUUAAGCCAAGCGUAGUUCCUUACAAAGUUGCUUUAUCACCUAGCAAAUCUGAUGAUGGGUCAGUUUCAUUGGACGAGACAAUGUCUUCAAGUGAUUCCUACAAGAUUCCUCAAGUGGAGUAUAUCGACAAUUACAAAGUUUCAGCUGUUGUUCGAUUUAAAGGAAAGCAUUGAGUAAUCUGUACAUAAGAUGGUCCAGUGGGCAGUGGCAUCCUACUAUGGAUCUUUUGUUCUCUUGAAGUUAUGAUAACACUAUCAAGGUUUGGUGGUCUACGGAUGAAUAUGGUGAUUAUAAUUGUGUCCAAAACUUGGGUGAAUCUAACAAGUAUAUCCUCUAUUUGCCUCUUCUUUAUUCUCACACGUUCAAAAUUUUCCUACUUUGAUGCUAUAGUUUUCUAAACCUUCUUAUAUGCUUAUAACAUGUUGCCUUUAAUCUUCACUUAGUGGUCAUUCUUCUACCGUCUGGGUUAUCUCCUUUAAUGAUGAUGGGAACGAGAUGAUCACUUGUUUCUGAUCGGAGAUUUCAUCUCUGUUACCUGGUCUGACAAUACUAAGAUUGCUUGAACUUGUAAUGAUGAUCUAACAGUGAAAAUAUGAUGGACAUAUUGCAGGGAUGCAAUCUGGUGAAGGAUAUGUACCCCGGUGAGGAUAUGACCCAUCUUCUUUGUACACUCUCUGGUUUUCAUGAUCGUACCAUAUAUUCAGUUCAUUGGUCAAGGUUUUUCUUUUGUUUUGUAACUGUAAGAUUGGGAGGAACGUUAUAAGAAACAGAGGAGGCUUUUUCGUUUGAGACGAAUAAGGCGAAAGUUGUGGUGAUGAACGCAGAGAUUCGAAGAACCAAAGCUCGAUUGCUUGAAGGAAUUCCAAAACUUCAAAGGCUUCAAAGGCUGACCGAUUCCCAAAAAGACAGGAGUACAUUGAAACAAAGGGACUUCGAGCUGAGAAGAAUAGCUUUGGCGUCUGAGAAUCUGCUGACUUUAAGCUGAGAAGAAUAGUUUUGUGGUCUGAAAAUCUACGGACUCUAACCGGAGAUUUGUGGUCUGAAAUUCUGGUGACUCCGGAGAUAAAGUUAAAGAAUCUGGUGAGAGACGAAGAUGAGAGACGACAACGACGAUUAGAGACGAAUUUCAUUUUGGGUAUUACAUUACGUGUUUGGAUUUAAAUUAUAGUUUAGAUGUUUUGAUGUUCAUUAAGAUUUAUGCUCACAAAGAAUUAGUUUUAUGGAA
RNA transcript from Arabidopsis lyrata subsp. lyrata, 1520 nucleotides. It is a transcript of the gene named protein CIA1-like, with no coding region annotated. NCBI's taxonomy places the organism in Eukaryota, Viridiplantae, Streptophyta, Magnoliopsida, Brassicales, Brassicaceae. The transcript is spliced from 5 exons. The record is from RefSeq and is a predicted model, not a curated record.